This 1044-nucleotide long non-coding RNA is filed under the name Brassica napus (rape). RNAcentral describes it as "long non-coding RNA (BNAP_LNC006028)". Lineage: Eukaryota; Viridiplantae; Streptophyta; Magnoliopsida; Brassicales; Brassicaceae. The record is from RNAcentral.
UCCGUGUAACUCAUCCCCUCAUCAUCACAUAUAUCUAUAUAAAGAGGUCUUUCUUUCUCUCAAGUCAUCCAUUGCAGCUCUCAAGAACAAAAGAAAAAAUCAGAGAAUUCCAGAUCCUUCUUCUUCUCUACAAAUCACUCACCUGAUACUCCAGCAAGACUUCCGAAUAUAAUUGAUAAUGAUCUCCGUUGUAAUCAUCACUGGUCUACUAGUGGAGUACACAGCAGCUCUCGCAAAACUCACCGCAGGGAUUAUUCCGAGACGGCAAGGAGACAGCAACGUAGUACGAGUUGGUGGUUUCGUCUUGUCUUGUCCUUCUCCGUGGAGUACUAAUCGUUCGUCGCCGAUACCAGACUUUUCUUCUCAUCUAGUAGAUUUCUGAUAUGUGACGACUUUUAGAGAUUUUUAUUUUGGAUUUUGUCAUCUUUUUUUAAUCUCUUCUAGAAGAGUGACGGCGGAGAUUUUUCCCUCGAGUGUCUCUAUGCCCUCUCUUCCUCUUUGUAAAUCUGUAUCGAAAUAUAAUAGAAAUUCACUAGUAAAAAUCUGUCGCACAGCCAUUAUAGUGCCACGGUAAAACCGUGGCUAAAUUAAAAAAGCCACGAUAAGUGUGUUGCUGAGUUAUUAUAUUAAAAAAAAAAAAAAAACAAAAACGCAAAUGUGUAUAGUUGUGCGCGUACGACGCGGUUGUUUUGUCUUUUUUAAAUAUAAAAGAUAAUUAAAAGUGAGUCCGUGUAACUCAUCCCCUCAUCAUCACAUAUAUCUAUAUAAAGAGGUCUUUCUUUCUCUCAAGUCAUCCAUUGCAGCUCUCAAGAACAAAAGAAAAAAUCAGAGAAUUCCAGAUCCUUCUUCUUCUCUACAAAUCACUCACCUGAUACUCCAGCAAGACUUCCGAAUAUAAUUGAUAAUGAUCUCCGUUGUAAUCAUCACUGGUCUACUAGUGGAGUACACAGCAGCUCUCGCAAAACUCACCGCAGGGAUUAUUCCGAGACGGCAAGGAGACAGCAACGUAGUACGAGUUGGUGGUUUCGUCUUGUCUUGUCCUUC